Molecule: long non-coding RNA, 1033 nt
Organism: Gasterosteus aculeatus aculeatus (three-spined stickleback)
Lineage: Eukaryota; Metazoa; Chordata; Actinopteri; Perciformes; Gasterosteidae
Source: Ensembl
GGGGGGGGGGGGGGGGGGGUAUACAGGGUCAGGCUGUGGUCUUUGGGUCGGAUCGGGUGCUACAGAGACUUGAUACAAAAAAUAAAGGAGGGAAUAACUUGUAAUAUAGCUGACAUAUCAUCCUAAACACAUCCCGAGCGUCUGCCCCUCCUAUCCGCUGUGCCGGCCCUCUCCUUGCUGAACCGAAAACUACAACCAAACCUCCCCACUCUCGCUGCGUGUGUCUCGUGGUCGGACACGCCUCCGAGCCGCACGAAAGGAAGCGUUUCAGGAGGAACCGCUCCAACCGAGACGGCGGCGGCGGCGGAGGAGGAAUACAUUUCGUUUCCUGGGACCCUCUAUUUAUUCUCCCAUAUAUAUACCCCCUCCUCCCAGCUGCAGCGGUUGACUUUUCACACGCCGCCCACACCCCGAGGCCUUCAUCAUCAUCAGCACCCUCUGCCGACACGCGCUCCCCUUCAGAGCAAUAGGAAGCCGCUCUGGUCUCUAAAACACUGAAGUAGGAGUCAUGAGAUUAUUGUUUUUCCGAUUUCUUCCUCGGAGCCGGAGCGGACGUCUCUUUGGCCGGAAGGAGCCCGUUUCCGCUCCAUCCUCCGGCUCUCAGAACGGGUCCCCCCCAUCCCCCCUGCCCCCUCCCCCCUCGCGGAUUCACCCCCUUGCAGGACCUGAAGGAGAGGACAAGCCGGGCAGACAUUGGGAGACACUGCGUGUCCGUUGUCCCCGCAGCAGGACAGAAACUCUACAGUGAAGCUUGUGUGAAUGAGUAAUGGUUCACACACACACACACACACACACCUUCAGACUCCCCCCUUUGUUUCCUUCUCAGCUCUUCCACCCCCCCCCCCCCGCUCUGCUCCUGUUUCUUAGGUUCAUUGUUUUCUAUCAGUUUAUUUUUGUCUUUUUUUUUGUUGUUUCGUUUAUGUUCAUUUCUUGUUGAGUACAAAAAUACUAAAGUGCAACAACAAUGAUUAAAAAGAAUAUCAACCAAACUGAGAUGAAUAAAUAUAUAUAAAUAAAGAACUAAUUUAAAAAG